Long non-coding RNA from Homo sapiens (human), 558 nucleotides. Ensembl annotates it as LARGE intronic transcript 1. Its record names the gene LARGE-IT1. The record is from Ensembl. NCBI's taxonomy places the organism in Eukaryota, Metazoa, Chordata, Mammalia, Primates, Hominidae.
AUUUCCUUCACAACUCUGAUCACUGCCUGAUGCCUCCACUGUAUUUGCUGGCUGUUGAGACUGUCUCUUUUCUAUGUUCUCCCGCUGGACUGUAAACUCCCUGAGGGCAGGAGAACAGCAAAAAUGCAUUCCUUUGCUGACACUUCUCUACCUGUGGUUGUCUUCCACUCUGCGUCAUGUGCCGUAUCCGCCUGUCACCCCGGCACACUGUCAGCCACGCAGCCUCUCGUUCCCUGUGUUUCCUUGCACACUCGUGCUCUGCUGGCCUCUGUCACUCUCACUGGGCGUCCUGCCUGCCUUCCCACCCCCUGCACGUGUCCCUGUUGGCACUUCCCUAUUCACACUCUCCUCUCCACCAAGCUUCCUUUGACGCUUCCUCUUUCAAGCUGUGCAGCCUUCUUCAGCUGACAGUUCAGCAUCGUUCCAUUUCUGAAGCAGGGAAUUGGUUUGGUGGGCACUAGCUCCAAGUUUGCCUUUGUGGUAUUUCUAGCCUCCUUCAUUCUCUUUCCUGUUUUGGCUGCAACCAAAGGCUGGGCUCAGUGAUGAAUCGCAAUUGGG